Molecule: signal recognition particle RNA, 314 nt
Filed under: Thermoplasmatales archaeon
Lineage: Archaea; Methanobacteriati; Thermoplasmatota; Thermoplasmata; Thermoplasmatales
Description: signal recognition particle sRNA
Rfam family: Archaeal signal recognition particle RNA
Source: RNAcentral
GUGCAGAAUAGACUGGGGAGAUAGACGUUCCCUAUCACCAGAAAUCGUCUUUAUGCUGGGGUCGAAUUCAAGAGGCGAUGUAACGAGCAUUUGUUGAUCCAUUUGUUGACGAUGAAACUUUGUCCUAUGGGAUCAGAGGCGAUGACCACAUAUAAUCGGAGGAUUAUAUGUACAUCUUAGUUGUGGGAACCGGGCGAGGCACGGAAGUGAGCAGCCUUACCGCAGACUGCUGAUGCUCAAAGGGUUAACGGGGUUAAGAAUGCAGAUGGGUAGUCAAUACGUGAAACGUACACCCACUCGCGAACUUUCUGCAC